This 253-nucleotide ribosomal RNA is filed under the name uncultured bacterium. RNAcentral describes it as "partial 16S ribosomal RNA". It matches the Rfam family "Bacterial small subunit ribosomal RNA", at positions 524 to 776 of the family's 1533-position model. The record is from RNAcentral.
GACAGAGGGUGCAAACGUUGCUCGGAAUCACUGGGCGUAAAGGGCGUGUAGGCGGGAAGGAAAGUCAGAUGUGAAAUCCCCAGGCUCAACCUGGGAACUGCAUUUGAAACUCCCUUUCUUGAGUACCGGAGAGGAAAGUGGAAUUCCUGGUGUAGAGGUGAAAUUCGUAGAUAUCAGGAGGAACACCAGUGGCGAAGGCGGCUUUCUGGACGGUAACUGACGCUGAGACGCGAAAGCGUGGGGAGCGAACAGG